AUUGAACGCUGGCGGCAGGCUUAACACAUGCAAGCCGAACGGUAACAUGAAGAAGCUUGCUUCUUUGAUGACGAGUGGCGGACGGGUGAGUAAUGCUUGGGAAUCUAGCUUAUGGAGGGGGAUAACUACGGGAAACUGUAGCUAAUACCGCGUAGAAUCGAGAGAUGAAAGUGUGGGACCUUCGGGCCACAUGCCAUAGGAUGAGCCCAAGUGGGAUUAGGUAGUUGGUGAGGUAAAGGCUCACCAAGCCGACGAUCUCUAGCUGGUCUGAGAGGAUGACCAGCCACACUGGGACUGAGACACGGCCCAGACUCCUACGGGAGGCAGCAGUGGGGAAUAUUGCGCAAUGGGGGCAACCCUGACGCAGCCAUGCCGCGUGAAUGAAGAAGGCCUUCGGGUUGUAAAGUUCUUUCGGUAGCGAGGAAGGCAUUUAGUUUAAUAGGCUAAGUGAUUGACGUAACUACA
Molecule: ribosomal RNA, 465 nt
Filed under: Terrahaemophilus aromaticivorans
Lineage: Bacteria; Pseudomonadati; Pseudomonadota; Gammaproteobacteria; Pasteurellales; Pasteurellaceae
Description: bacterial SSU rRNA
Rfam family: Bacterial small subunit ribosomal RNA
Source: RNAcentral